CCAGUAUAAAUGUCACUGCACUUUCCUUCAAUGUGUUUCUUUAUGUGAAACUUGGGGAGGUCUUCAUUUUGCUGACAGUCUGUGUAGGAUCAUACUGGUUUUACAAGGCGAAAACCACUUCUACAGUACAAGAUGAUAAUAACUAGUGGGUCUGAAGUCUCUUAAGUGGACCAAGAUGGAAAAUAGCCAAUGAAACUCUAUGAAAGUCCAUGAGUUGAGCAACAAUGCAAAUGUAAGAUUUAUUUAAUCAAAACAGCAGAUCUGGGCCAGGUUUCUCAAAGCACUAAGAGGAUCGCAAGAUGCUCGUAAGUGCCUUGUGCCUUUUCCGAAACCAUUGUUACUUAAGUGGCACGUAACAUCGCUUGUUAAUUAACGAGUGCUCCGGACCACUCAUUAGUCCAUAUUUACCGAUCUUAACAGGCAUUUUACUGGUAUGUAAAACAAGAAAUAGGCUAAUUAAGAAAAAGUGUUCAAAAUGUACUGUUCACGAGUCUGAAAGCCUGCAUUGUACUGCUACUAUAUUUGAUGUAUACAGUGGUGUGAAAAAGUGUUUGCCCCCUUCCUGAUUUCUUGUUUUUUUGCAUGUUUGUCACACUUAUAUGUUUCAGAUCAUCAAACAAAUUUGAUGAUCUUAUUUCAGUAAUCUGGCUACGUGCCUGAUCACCUUAAGACCCAUAAUACAGGCAACCACGCACCGCCAUCCAAAAUAUUCAUUAGCAAAUGUAAUCUUAAUCAUAACUGACCUCGACAAAUGGACAUUAUUAUUACUACCGGAUCUAGUAUUACAGUUUACUGCAGUUCUUUGUGUGAUUUGUCCAACUGGUGUUGCCGUACCCCAGCUGAAGUCAGUAAUGGACUGCUGUUGGUAGGUACAAUAUCAAACACUGGACUGUCUCUCUAUUACAUUACUUUCAAUUGGUUAAAAAGUGGAAAACUAGAAUGUAAUAUGAGUGUUAUGUAGGCUAUAUCACUGUUGAUUCUGAUAGUUUUAAUGACAACGUCCAUAUGUCAUUUGCACUGGAACUGUAAUUGUGGAAAGAAAUAAUAUUUUGCUAAAAAGUGUGAGUAACUGUAUGUGGAAACAAAUGUUUUGGAUUAAAAACGGGCCGAUUUGCAAAGUCUAACCAUCAUUAACGUUAGCUAUCAUAGCUAAGUCACCUGGAAAGUUAAUUAGCCACAUUUUAGAAAGCCCAUAUGAAGUCUGAGUAAAGUGUCAAUCAUGUAUGUUGCUCUGCAUGUGUAAUUUAUAUAGACAGUAGUAGCUUUCAUUUAUUGCUGUCAGGGUCGUGGAGGAAGGGCAGAGGCAAUCGGAUACAUCCUUUUAAUGUUCUUCUUUGAAAACAAAAGGAGAGGCAGACCGCAAACUAAAGCAAAUAACGCAAACAAUGAUCCACAAAGUAAGGAAACCAAGGACAACUUAAAUAGAGUCCCCAAUUAGAGGCAACACAGGGCAUCUUCCUCUAAUUGGGGACAAUCAAAACUGCAGCGCAGAGAUGUCUAGACGCCCCCAGCCAGGCAGUGACAGUAUAAUGCGCGGGGAAGGGGGAGGCUCCGCCCCUGGAGCAGGAUGCAAGCGUGUUAUGGAAAUUCUCAUACUGAUGUAUACUUAGUCCUAAAUGGGUUACUAGUUAUAGGUACUGAGUCCCCAUGUUUAGAUAAGAAAAGGAACGUAGGAGAGGGGGAUUUAGUAUUUGUUUAGGGUCAUUAUUGACUGGUAUCCACAGAUUAUAGGGUUACUCAUAAAUCU
Esox lucius (northern pike) is the source of this 1747-nucleotide long non-coding RNA. RefSeq lists it as uncharacterized. The transcript has 3 exons. The record is from RefSeq and is a predicted model, not a curated record. Lineage: Eukaryota; Metazoa; Chordata; Actinopteri; Esociformes; Esocidae.